UUGGCGGACGGGUGAGUAACGCGUGGGUAACCUGCCUCACACUGGGGGAUAACACUUAGAAAUAGGUGCUGAUACCGCAUAAGCGCACGGGACUGCAUGGUCUUGUGUGAAAAACUCCGGUGGUGUGAGAUGGACCCGCGUCUGAUUAGCUGGUUGGCGGGGUAACGGCCCACCAAGGCGACGAUCAGUAGCCGGCCUGAGAGGGUGGACGGCCACAUUGGGACUGAGACACGGCCCAAACUCCUACGGAAGGCAGCAG
Molecule: ribosomal RNA, 259 nt
Filed under: uncultured bacterium
Lineage: Bacteria
Description: partial 16S ribosomal RNA
Rfam family: Bacterial small subunit ribosomal RNA
Source: RNAcentral